Long non-coding RNA from Melospiza georgiana, 3917 nucleotides. RefSeq lists it as uncharacterized. Lineage: Eukaryota; Metazoa; Chordata; Aves; Passeriformes; Passerellidae. The transcript has 3 exons. The record is from RefSeq and is a predicted model, not a curated record.
CACGCAGAAACGCCCCCAAGCCCUAAAAGCGCCAACAACAAGGCAGGAUUUACCCUCGCUUAUACGGCGCGAUUUCAAGGCCGGUGUCCGGCGGGUGACAUGUCAAGUAAAAGAUCUUGCUGCCCUAACAGAAGAAGGCUAAAUGUCCUUCCAUCUGAGCACUAGCCUGGGGCCACCCUUCGUCCCACUGCACUUGGUCCUUUACAACUUCUGACUCCCAGAGGAAACUCCAGGACUCAAAAGGAAACCCUACAAGCAUUCAAAUACUUUGGGCAUCUUUGUGGCCCACGUGAGCUCACAAGAACCCCAGGACACUGAGGGAGGAGCCAUCUCUGCUUGGCAGUAAGAAAUACUGGGGAAUGGGAAGCCUUAAUUCCCAGUGCAGGGACUGAUGAACCAUCAGGUCAGACUCUGCAGUACAUGGGCAGGGUUGUACCAUGCUUCUCCUUGCUCUUCUGUGACUGAAUAAAGCCAGCCAGGCAUAGAUAUUGUUUCUCUCAAGCAGCCAGGCAUAACCCAGACUUGUUUACCUGCCUAGCAACACAUUAACUACAUCCCAGUGAGCUGGUGAUAUAUAAUCCAGCAUUCAGGCUAUUGGCAUCACCUGAUUAGUCUAUGUGUUUUGAUUAUUAAACACUGCAGAAGAAAAGUAUCUAAAAUUUUCUUGCAGUCAUAGGACUGCUCCUACCUUUACACACCACAUUGAAAUAUUCAUGGCAUUUAUAAUUUUAAAUGGAUUUGGAUUGCAAGUAACAACUUGGUGUAAACAUUUUUAAUCUUGUAAAUUGGAAGCAAAAUGGGUCCAAUUUGAAAAUUAGCUAUUAUUUUAGUGUUUCACCUAUUUUUCUAAUUAACAUUAAAAAAAGUUAUGGAGUAAACAAAUAUAUUUAGACUUUGGUUCAUUCAAGUGUCUACUACUACUACCUCACAUUGUUUUUCUAAUUGGCUGCACUUUAUGGUGAAAACUUAAAUACUAUCUUCUUCAAUUCUGAAUGAGAGGCAAGUGUAAAAGAAUAAGAUUGAAAAUAAACAGAAAAAAUGCACCAAAACACUCUGCAUAGUUGUUACAGUUAACAACAGCAGAAGUAGAAAUGGUUAGGGAAGGAAAUGAGCUUGUGAUCCCACAUGUUGCACACCUGUAUCCAUGUGAGAUCACAGCUCUGAUCUUUAUGGUUUGUCUCACCCACUGCAGCUCUUUCCAGCCCCGCUGCAUACCCUGCUUGGGGAACUUGCCUGUUGUCACAGCCUGCUUGCUGAUGGCCUGUAUUGCCUGCAGUGCUCAGAGUGGGGACAAGCAUUCUCAAAGCAUCCCAUUCUUUCUGCUGCACUCUCCUUCAGCUUUUUAAAAUUCCAUUUUCAAAUGCAGCUCAUACUUUAUCUCUUCUAUUUUACAGCUUACCUUUGCACAGAACUUCUCCAUGCUGGUGUCUGCAUCGGAAAGGGCUGUGGGCUGUGCAGCACUGAAGAGGGUUAGGCAUUCACAUGCAUAGUGAAAACAAAUCAGAGCAUUAAAAAAGUGUAUGAUAAAUACAAACUUUUUACUUAAAGAUAUGAGUGAUAAGGAUAGAAAGACUGUUAUUGCUAGUAGAGAUUUUAAUUCUCCAAACCAUCUGUUUUUGAUGAUUGUUGGAAGCAGGAUACAAGACUUACAUCAAACACAGGUUCAAACUGGUUCCAGCACUGCUCAGUUCCUCAGAUCCUAGGGUCUCUAGCUCCAAAAAGUAAAAAAACCCUAAUAAUAAGAGCAACAAUUAAAUAAUUAUUACAAAUAUUAUUUUGCCUUUUUAUGUCUAUUUUUAUUCUGAGACCUUUCUCAAACUAUGUAUAUGAAUGAGAAUUAGUGGUGACAGAUUUUUUGAUAGAGACAGUGAUGACACAGGUACUGCAGGAGCCCUGACUGAUACUCAGCAAUUACUUCUGCCCAUCCAAUCUCCAAAUCAAUCCAAUUUACUCCCAUCAGCUCUGCAAUCAGUUCUCCCACUAGCCUUUUACACUUCUCCCUAUCAAUGUGCCUGCUGUUUCUCUCUCUUUGAAAGGAGGUUUUAUUUCCUUCAUUCUGAAUGAAGAGAGAGCUAGAUACAUGAAUUAUUCUUUAUCUCUUGACCAUUUCAAUAGUUUUCUCAAAACGUAUGUUUUUAGUUUUCUUUUUGUCUGUUUCAGACAGUUCUUUACCCGCAAACACAAAAGAACUCUUUCCUGUGACAGAUGUGCCUUGUGGGUGGUUAGAAACAGAUGAACAUCAUGGUUCAGGAUGCACACCUAUGGCAUGGAGAAUUACACUGAAUUAAGAAGUGUCUCAUAGACAUAGUGUCUUCCCUAUGAAGACCAUGGAAAAUCAGACUUCAUUAUAAUUCUUCAAUUUCUAUGCAGAGUUUUUUUAGAUUUUAUGGUAAGAUUUUACCCUUCAGAAUUUUACAACUUUGUGCAAAAGAAAAGACUCUGUGAAGUGUGCAACAACUGCAGAGUAACUUACUUAAAAUAUAGAUACUAGACAAGCUUUAAUUACAAAAUUUAUACAUCAGGUCUAGGCUAGAAGGCAAGUGUGAAUAAAUCUCUUGGAAGUUGGAGGUACAGCAGAAACUCAGCAUCAGCAUGGUUUUGACCCUGCAAUGUCAGACUACAAGGACAAUUAAGUUAAUUAUCCAAGCCUUUAUGGGCUCUUAUGCCAGUUUUUCCAGUCAGUCUGGGCGAGCAACCCUCACUUGGCCAUUGCUUGAUGUUGAAAUGCUGGAACUGGUAUUUAAGCCAGCUUUUGUAUCAAGUGCACUUAUAUACAUCCAUGUGAAGGUGUAUCCAUGCACAUGUGCGUGCACACACACUUAUCUAAGUGUACUUUCAAGGAUUUCAAGGAAUGAAAGACCAAUCCAUCUGUCAAGACAAAUACACUUCUCACUGGGGGAACCUGGCUAUGAUGUUUUGCUUCUCUCAUUUGUAUUUUAUUAAUUAAUGCAGGGUUGCAAGGUGUUAAAUAAAAGUUAGAGCAAAUAGCAUAGAUACAAAGAAAGCUUGCCCUCACCAACAACUGAAAGUAGCUUCACUGACAAGUCUGAUCUUAGGGUGUCACAUUGUAUGUCCCAUUGAUGUGUGGCCUCACAGCAUGGUACAAAACUGAAAGCAGAAUCAGGGAGUUGGGUUUAUAGAAGGGGCAUUCCUUGAAGAGAGAGGAGACAAAAGCCAAGGCCUAUAGCUUCUCUCAUCUCCAGGCUUUUUGAUCUUCCUACAACCACUAAAUCAACAAAACCCUUUAAAAAACAGUGCUUGUAACAGGACCCACUUUAAAUAAAUUCUUUCUGUUUUGAUGCCCAACCUCUCUUGCAACAGGACCAGUGGUUCCUUUGAAAGUGGGAUUUCUCAUCUCACGGCAUUAUUUUAAGCACCAUUUCAUCCCUUUAUAAUACAAAACUGUCAGGAGCAUUCCUCUGUUUGGCUUAUGGAGGAGUCUGUCUUUCUAGUCAUGUGAACACAAAGUCCUUCUCUACAGAAUUACAAAAAUAACCUGUAAACAAGUAUUUCAUUUGUACCUCCCUGUUGUCAUCACAUUUUCCUUCCCCGUGCCUGUAAGUUUCUAAGGCAGAAUAACUAUUUAAUGAUCAAACAAACUAACUGGCACUGUUCCUUCCUAGGAGAAAAGCACAUCAAUAAAACAAGCAAUACUUCAGUUAAGUGGUAAUAGACCAGGUGCCACAGUUUGCAAAGUAAUUACCUGUGGAUACCAGAGGAUUACAGCUGAAAAGAACUAGACACCCUUUCUGUUAUUACUGAUAAAUAGAAGAUGGUACCUGGUCUCAAUUUAACAGCUGGAAUUACAUGAGUAAAUGUAAUAAAAAAUACUACUCUCUUCUGAAAAUUGCACUUGACAGCUGCCUAUUUGUUCAUCUGAAGCUCCAAUUCCAAUUGUUUUACAGCAUGGAAAUGAA